Molecule: ribosomal RNA, 253 nt
Filed under: uncultured bacterium
Lineage: Bacteria
Description: partial 16S ribosomal RNA
Rfam family: Bacterial small subunit ribosomal RNA
Source: RNAcentral
UACGGAGGGUGCGAGCGUUAUCCGGAUUCACUGGGUUUAAAGGGUGCGUAGGUGGGAAUGUAAGUCAGUGGUGAAAUCUCUGAGCUUAACUCAGAAACUGCCAUUGAUACUAUGUUUCUUGAAUUAUCUGGAGGUCAGCGGAAUAUGUCAUGUAGCGGUGAAAUGCUUAGAUAUGACAUAGAACACCAAUUGCGAAGGCAGCUGGCUACAGGUGGAUUGACACUGAGGCACGAAAGCGUGGGGAUCAAACAGG